RNAcentral lists this ribosomal RNA (253 nucleotides) under uncultured bacterium. RNAcentral describes it as "partial 16S ribosomal RNA". It matches the Rfam family "Bacterial small subunit ribosomal RNA", at positions 524 to 776 of the family's 1533-position model. The record is from RNAcentral.
UACGGAGGGGGCAAGCGUUAUUCGGAAUUAUUGGGCGUAAAGGGCGCGUAGGCGGCUAGAUGUGUCAAAGGUGAAAUCCCUCGGCUCAACUGAGGAACUGCCUUUGAAACUGUCUGGCUUGAGGCCGGGAGAGGGUAGCGGAAUUCCCAGUGUAGCGGUGAAAUGCGUAGAUAUUGGGAGGAACACCAGUGGCGAAGGCGGCUACCCGGACCGGUUCUGACGCUGAGGCGCGAAAGCGUGGGUAGCAAACAGG